This 386-nucleotide ribosomal RNA is filed under the name uncultured bacterium. Its description in RNAcentral is "bacterial SSU rRNA". It matches the Rfam family "Bacterial small subunit ribosomal RNA", at positions 28 to 417 of the family's 1533-position model. The record is from RNAcentral.
GACGAACGCUGGCGGCGUGCUUAACACAUGCAAGUCGAGCGAUGAAGCACCUUCGGGUGUGAAUUAGCGGCGAACGGGUGAGGAACACGUGAAGAAUCUGCCUUCAACUCUGGGAUAACUCCGGGAAACCGGGGCUAAUACCGGAUAUGAGCCUUGAUCGCAUGAUCGGGGCUGGAAAGUUUUUCGGUUGAAGAUGACUUCGCGGCCUAUCAGCUUGUUGGUGAGGUAAUGGCUCACCAAGGCGACGACGGGUAGCCGGCCUGAGAGGGCGACCGGCCACACUGGGACUGAGACACGGCCCAGACUCCUACGGGAGGCAGCAGUGGGGAAUAUUGGGCAAUGGAGGAAACUCUGACCCAGCGACGCCGCGUGAGGGAUGAAGGCCU